ACAAACAUACCAUCCAAACCAACAAAAUCGCUACCACCCCAAACCGCUUCUACUUCACGCUGGUGGCAUGCUUUGCUUGUGAAGAGUCGUCGGAGUGGGUAGUCUUCUUCGCGGUGUAGGUUCAGCAUUUGCUUGUUUGAUGUGUUUUGCUUCGCGCUCGAUGGAUCUGCUUCUUUGAACUCACAAUAAUCCACCAUCCAAACCCCCAAAAUCGCACUGGUGGUCUGCUUCGCGCUUGGUUGAACUGCUUCGCCAUGUCAAAGCCGUCGCCACUGUGAGUUUGGCAAUGGAUUGUUGCCGUGGGCGGUGGUCCACCAUCCAAAACCACAAAAGCGUGCUAGCGUUCUGCUUUGCGCCCAGUGGAACUGCUUCAUCGUGUCAAUACCGCCGUCGUUGUGAGUUUGACGGUGGAUUGUUGACGUGGGUGAUGGUCUCCGACAAUGGGCAGCGGCGCGGAGUUGUCGGUUGAGUGGAGAGAGUGAAGAGGGAAGAUGAAGUGAUGUGAAUUU
RNAcentral lists this long non-coding RNA (509 nucleotides) under Olea europaea (common olive). RNAcentral describes it as "long non-coding RNA (OEUR_LNC013811)". The record is from RNAcentral. Lineage: Eukaryota; Viridiplantae; Streptophyta; Magnoliopsida; Lamiales; Oleaceae.